GGGGAGUUACCAGAGUGGCCAAAUGGGACAGACUGUAAAUCUGUUGUCUUAUGACUUCGGUGGUUCGAAUCCACCACUCCCCACCA
Molecule: transfer RNA, 86 nt
Filed under: Bacteroidota bacterium
Lineage: Bacteria; Pseudomonadati; Bacteroidota
Also listed under: 1 other name
Description: Bacteroidetes bacterium tRNA-Tyr
Rfam family: tRNA
About the family: Transfer RNA (tRNA) molecules are approximately 80 nucleotides in length. Their secondary structure includes four short double-helical elements and three loops (D, anti-codon, and T loops).
Source: RNAcentral